GAGCCCGCACAAGCAGUGGAGUAUGUGGAUUAAUUCGACGCAACGCGAAGAACCUUACCGAAGCUUGACAUCCCGGAAAAAGGCUUGUAAAGAGCUAAUGCCCUUCGGGGAAUCCGGAGACAGGUGGUGCAUGGUUGUCGUCAGCUCGUGUCGUGAGAUGUUGGGUUAAGUCCCGCAACGAGCGCAACCCUUAUGAUUAGUUGCUACAUUAAGUUGAGCACUCUGGUCAGACUGCCGUUGACAAAACGGAGGAAGGUGGGGAUGACGUCAAAUCAUCAUGCCCCUUACGCUUCGGGCCUCACACGUACUACAAUGGCGCAAACAAAGGGAAGCGAAACCGCGAGGCGGAGCGAACCUCAUAAAAGGCGUCCCAGUUCGGACUGCAGGCUGCAACUCGCCUGCACGAAGUUGGAAUUGCUAGUAAUCGCGGAUCAGCAUGCCGCGGUGAAUACGUUCCCGGGCUUU
This 465-nucleotide ribosomal RNA is filed under the name uncultured bacterium. RNAcentral describes it as "bacterial SSU rRNA". It matches the Rfam family "Bacterial small subunit ribosomal RNA", at positions 917 to 1382 of the family's 1533-position model. The record is from RNAcentral.